GGACCCCGAUCCUCCCACCCUUUGUGUACCUACCUCUGUUGCUUUGGCGGGCCGCGGUCCUCCGCGGCCGCCCCCCUCCCCGGGGGGUGGCCAGCGCCCGCCAGAGGACCAUCAAACUCCAGUCAGUAAACGAUGCAGUCUGAAAAACAUUUAAUAAACUAAAACUUUCAACAACGGAUCUCUUGGUUCUGGCAUCGAUGAAGAACGCAGCGAAAUGCGAUAAGUAAUGUGAAUUGCAGAAUUCAGUGAAUCAUCGAAUCUUUGAACGCACAUUGCGCCCUUUGGUAUUCCGAAGGGCAUGCCUGUUCGAGCGUCAUUACAACCCUCAAGCUCUGCUUGGUAUUGGGCACCGUCCUUUGCGGGCGCGCCUCAAAGACCUCGGCGGUGGCGUCUUGCCUCAAGCGUAGUAGAACAUACAUCUCGCUUCGGAGCGCAGGGCGUCGCCCGCCGGACGAACCUUCUGAACUUUUCUCAAGGUUGACCUCGGAUCAGGUAGGGAUACCCGCUGAACUUAAGCAUAUCAAUAAGCGGAGGAA
RNAcentral lists this ribosomal RNA (536 nucleotides) under Botryosphaeria dothidea. RNAcentral's name for it is "eukaryotic LSU rRNA". The stretch from base 163 to 316 matches the Rfam family "5.8S ribosomal RNA". Lineage: Eukaryota; Fungi; Ascomycota; Dothideomycetes; Botryosphaeriales; Botryosphaeriaceae. The record is from RNAcentral.